CCAUGUUAUGCCAUUAUUAUAUCACUGUAAUGUCCACAUUAUAUAUAAAUUGUCAUAACCACACUACGUCAUUGUUACAUCAUUGUUAUGUUAUUAUUAUAUCCCGUUUAUGUGAGAAGAAUAAAAAAAAAAGAGAAGAAAAAAAGCUAAAAAAGAAAAUAUAUUUUAAAUUCCCAUUAUAACCUGAUAAAAUUUUAAUCGUCAAAUUAAAAUUGACAAAAUUAAUUAAAGACCAUUAAAUUACUGUUUGAACGAUUCAAGAUAUUGGGCCUCUCAAAUCAUCGACAAUUUCGUC
RNAcentral lists this long non-coding RNA (295 nucleotides) under Linum usitatissimum (flax). RNAcentral describes it as "long non-coding RNA (LUSI_LNC003413)". Lineage: Eukaryota; Viridiplantae; Streptophyta; Magnoliopsida; Malpighiales; Linaceae. The record is from RNAcentral.